GGAGACUGGGAAAGGUGGCCUGGGAACCAGGGUGGCGAUCGGACAGAAAAGGGAGCUUUCGCAAUCGGACAGAAAAGAGAGCUUUCAGAAGCCUCUAAUGCUCCUCUUGGCGCCGGCGCCGGCAGAGGACAGAGAUCUGCUCUCUGCUUUUUGGAGAAAGAGAGCAGAUCGGCCGCGGCCGCGCCCUCGGCUAACGGUGCGCCCGGCACAAGGCAGGGACUGUUCUCGGGAGAUGGCUGGACGCUGCUGCUGCAGCCGAGCCCAGGCCGCGGGCACACUCGCUCCCAGGCUGAGACGCGACUGGCUGGCACGAGCUGAUCUGCACCAGCUGAGCUGUCAACCGCGAGUGAGCGGAGGCGGGGCUCCCUGCAACCCAGGACCCGCCCAGGUGACACGCCGAGGCACACACCCUCCGGCCUCUACCGCCUCUCUUGCUGACUCGGAGGAAUGAUGGCCUCAGAAGUAGCCUUCGAUGACCCUCGUCCUACCUUCUGUUCCCUCUCUCAUCCAAGUGAGAGGCUUUGGACAAAACCAGCCAACUGACUUCAAGGGAGCACCUUGGAAAAGGCGGUCUUCCCCUGCGCUGCGUCACCCACCCACAGUUCCCACAGCAACCGGGCCCUACCAGAAGUUCCCAGGAUGCAGAGGACUCCUGAACAUCCUAGAAGGCUCCGAACGCCUUCAGAGACUUCAGAGGGAUCUCCAGGAUGUGGACUCUCUACCGUGGUUGUUCUGAGAUCACAGGGAAAGCCGUUGCUUCCAAGGAGGGGGCUGCCCAGACCCUGUGCGUCUACAUAGGUACCAAUGUUUAAACAGACAGACAUUCUGUAAUUAGAGAGCUUGCCUCCUGGAGCUCCCUUUUAACUCUGAAAUAAACCUUUUUAUUAAGCCACA
This is a long non-coding RNA of Arvicola amphibius (Eurasian water vole), 894 nucleotides long. RefSeq lists it as uncharacterized. The record is from RefSeq and is a predicted model, not a curated record. The transcript has 3 exons. NCBI's taxonomy places the organism in Eukaryota, Metazoa, Chordata, Mammalia, Rodentia, Cricetidae.